ACUAUAGGCGUCAUCUGCAAAGAACGCCACAUCGUGUGGCAAAGCAGAUGUGACAAACUUCGUGUUUG
Non-coding RNA from Caryophanon tenue, 68 nucleotides. The record is from Rfam. Lineage: Bacteria; Bacillati; Bacillota; Bacilli; Caryophanales; Caryophanaceae.